GUCUUUAGUUAAAUUUCUAUAGAGACUGCCGAUUACAAGUCGGAGGAAGUGGGGACGACGUCAAGUCAUCAUGCCAUUUAUAUCCUGGGCUACACACGUGCUACAAUGGUUGAGACAACGAGUGCAAAUUUGCGAAAUAAGCUAAUCUCUUAAACUCAGCCUUAGUUCGGAUGGUAGGCUGAAACUCGCCUGCCUGAAGCCGGAAUUGAUAGUAAUCGCUGGUCAGCUAUACAGCGGUGAAUACGUUCUCGGGUCUU
RNAcentral lists this ribosomal RNA (257 nucleotides) under uncultured cyanobacterium. Its description in RNAcentral is "partial 16S ribosomal RNA". It matches the Rfam family "Bacterial small subunit ribosomal RNA", at positions 1107 to 1382 of the family's 1533-position model. Lineage: Bacteria; Bacillati; Cyanobacteriota. The record is from RNAcentral.